CAAGUAGGUAGUGAAAGCCUGGGGCUCAACCCUUUAAACAUUAUCUAAACUGCUAAGCUAGAAUAUAGAAGAGGUAGCUGGAAUUCCUAGUGUAGGAGUGGAAUCCGUAGAUAUUAGGAGGAACACCGAUGGCGUAGGCAGGCUACUGGUCUAUUAUUGACGCUAAGGCACGAAAGCGUGGGGAGCGAACGGGAUUAGAUACCCCGGUAGUCCACGCCGUAAACUAUGGAUGCUA
RNAcentral lists this ribosomal RNA (235 nucleotides) under uncultured Candidatus Saccharibacteria bacterium. RNAcentral describes it as "partial 16S ribosomal RNA". It matches the Rfam family "Bacterial small subunit ribosomal RNA", at positions 584 to 818 of the family's 1533-position model. Lineage: Bacteria; Candidatus Saccharimonadota. The record is from RNAcentral.